UUCCAUCUCGCUACUAGACGAUGAUGUUUUGAACUCCUUCUUCAUCGUUUUCUCUACUUCCCCUUCUUCUUCUGCUCUCCAAUGGCUAUCACCGCCGCAAACGUUUAACAAAAAAAAAAAAACAGCCUUUUAUUCAUACCCAAUGCCAGUGUAUCCACGCGCAUUCCAUUUUCCCAUGUCAAGACACUCCAGCGGUGCUCAAUGUCCCUCGGAAUGCUUUCCUUUUUCUUCAGUUGAAUGAAUGAAAGAAAUGACGCAUAUAAAGGGAAAAAGCUCUCGCCUGCUGUUUGUAGAGAUAAGCACACUUGCAGACAUUUAUGCACAUAUAUAUUCACGUGUUUGUAUUUUUCUGCUUUCUUAAAAUAUGUCUUGGUCUACAGGAGAAAAGGGCAUUGGUCCUAAAACUGGAAAGCCAUUGCACUACAAGGGUUCCUUUUUCCAUCGAGUCAUGAAAGGUUCCCUGGCCCAGGGUGGUGAUUUUGGAAGAAGAGAUGGUACGCAUUCUUUGCAAAGAGGACUUUUAUUUUAAUUUUUUGUAGCUGUUAAUUGAUUUUACUUUAGAUAAUAUCUCUUUAAGGGUUGCCAUCUAUGUGACUGCUGGUUGAAGUGUUAUUUCUACCUGCUUAUUUUGAAAUGUUAUAUUAUAUAUGUUAGCUUUUGUAGGUGUCUGUGUGUGUAUGGUCUUAAUGUUUUUCCCCCCACAAUGUUUCAAUUUGAGUUUAGAGGAGCAAUAAUGCUUUGGUAUGAAGAAUAUCGAUAUACUGUCUAUUUGUUUGACAGGGUGGCCUGCCAAUGUAUGUCGCAACACGGGGUUUAUAUGGCUUUAAUAAGUAGGUUCUCUAUCUAUUUGUUUGUUUAUUAUCUAUUUGGCUUUAAUAAGUAGGUUAAUGUGUCUGUCUAUUUGUUUACAGCUUAAUCUAUUUGUUUGUUUGUUUAUUGUCUAUUUGUCUUUAAUAAGUAGGUUCUCUGUCUUUGUUGGAAACAUAUGAUAUAUAUGCUAAAUAUAUAUAUAUAUAUAUAUGGAUGCCGGACACAGGUACUUCAGAAAAUGAAGAGUUGGAGUAACAUGGGUAUUUGUAUCCGAAUGUCAAUAUAUAUGCUAAAUAUCAUUGAAUGAAACAAAGUAGAAAAUGGUAUUUUCUUGCAAAUAACCUGGUUUAAGUUGUUUUAUGCACAUGUGCUAUGUACAUGUGCCUUAUACACAGUAUUUUCUAUUUUCUAUUUUUCUUCAUCUUGAGUUGAUGUGUACAUGAUUUAUUGAAAAAAAAGCUUUAUAAAUGUUUAUGUCAUGUUUUAUAUGUACAUAGAUAUUUUCUUUCAUCUUUUGAAAUUCAUUGUGGAAAUGCUUAAUGAUACUGUUUAUGUCAAGUUCUGAGGGGAAGACUGAUGUUAUGAAAAAGAUUAAGUUUCCACAGAUGAAGUAGAAAUCUGCUAGUAAAACUGUUCAACGACAAGCAAAGAGGCAGCACUACCUUGUCCCAUAAAAGAAAUUUUGGAAAAGGAAAAGAAGAUAUUGAAGGUGUAGUGGAUGAUUCAAUCUCUUCAAGCUGGAAAAGCCAAGGCUUAGCACUUUUUCAAGUAGAGUGUUAUUUAAUGUUGUAUUCCAUGGUCGUUUAUCUUAGUCGGAACUUGAAUUAGGUGUUAUUGAAAUAGGGUUUUGUAGCUACCUUGUGUACUAGUUUAUUUAAUUAUGAUUGUUAAUUAUGUUUUGUAGUUUCUUUUA
Molecule: long non-coding RNA, 1723 nt
Organism: Gossypium raimondii (Peruvian cotton)
Lineage: Eukaryota; Viridiplantae; Streptophyta; Magnoliopsida; Malvales; Malvaceae
Exons: 4
Source: RefSeq, a predicted model, not a curated record